Molecule: ribosomal RNA, 490 nt
Filed under: uncultured bacterium
Lineage: Bacteria
Description: partial 16S ribosomal RNA
Rfam family: Bacterial small subunit ribosomal RNA
Source: RNAcentral
AUUGAACGCUGGCGGCAGGCCUAACACAUGCAAGUCGAACGGUAACAGGAAGAAGCUUGCUUCUUUGCUGACGAGUGGCGGACGGGUGUGUAAUGUCUGGGAAACUGCCUGAUGGAGGGGGAUAACUACUGGAAACGGUAGCUAAUACCGCAUAACGUCGCAAGCCCAAAGAGGGGGACUUUCGGGCCUCUUGCCAUCGGAUGUGCCCAGAUGGGAUUAGCUAGUAGGUGGGGUAACGGCUCACCUAGGCGACGAUCCCUAGCUGGUCUGAGAGGAUGACCAGCCACACUGGAACUGAGACACGGUCCAGACUCCUACGGGAGGCAGCAGUGGGGAAUAUUGCACAAUGGGCGCAAGCCUGAUGCAGCCAUGCCGCGUGUAUGAAGAAGGCCUUCGGGUUGUAAAGUACUUUCAGCGGGGAGGAAGGGAGUAAAGUUAAUACCUUUGCUCAUUGACGUUACCCGCAGAAGAAGCACCGGCUAACUCCGUG